Limulus polyphemus (Atlantic horseshoe crab) is the source of this 540-nucleotide long non-coding RNA. RefSeq lists it as uncharacterized. The transcript is spliced from 3 exons. NCBI's taxonomy places the organism in Eukaryota, Metazoa, Arthropoda, Merostomata, Xiphosura, Limulidae. The record is from RefSeq and is a predicted model, not a curated record.
CUAUUAUUCAAUAGAUUGGGCAGGUGUCUAUGUAUUGGAGAAUUACUAAUGCUACUCCUGUUUUGAAAGGGAAUUAUAAUGGUUGCAGUAAAAUUAAUAGAGCUGGGUAAUAAAUGUAAUUGGAAUAAUAAAAAAUAGUAAUAUUUGAUUAUUUUCAUGAGUCAUGACACUAAUGGUUGAAGCUGAACAGCUUUAAAUUAAGUGAAAGGCAGCAUAAAUUCACCAGAGGAAAAUCUUGACUUACUAAGCUGCUGUCUUUUUUUUUCUUCUUCUUCAUGAUGUUUCUUGUUAUCUGGAUGAAAGAAAGUUUGUGGAAUUGUUAUACUUGCAUUGUAGGGUGGUUAGAUGGAAGAAAGCAAAAGGUUAUUAAGAGUUCAGUCAGACUGGACCAUUGUUACUAGUGGAAUGCUUCAGAGGAAUAUGAACGCCAACAAGAGCAGAGGUUAUGAGUAAAAAACAUUCCAGCAUGUCCUUUUCAACUUGGAAUGUAAUGUUAAUUUUGGCCACUGGGGAUCCAUGGUGAAACAUUUAUUGACAUGG